Molecule: long non-coding RNA, 751 nt
Organism: Chelonia mydas (Green sea turtle)
Lineage: Eukaryota; Metazoa; Chordata; Testudines; Cheloniidae
Exons: 3
Source: RefSeq, a predicted model, not a curated record
GCUGGGACAGAGAGAGAAUCCAGUUUGGAGUCACCCACUGAGAUGCAGAAAAAAGGGGACAUCACAAAGGGGAGUAGGAAAGGAGAAACAAACCAAACAGCUGCCCCCAAAUCCUUUCCCAGAGGAGAGAAAGAAGGGAACCAAUUCCGCCACCUCAUUCCCAUCUGAAUAUGGAGGACAGUGUUUGUUUCUACAUAGGCACACAGGACUGGUGAAAACUCAGGAGUGCCAUUUGUCAUGAGAAUGUAAAAAGGUUUCUGAGCCACUUUUGCCAAUUGCUUACUUCUGUGGGCAUCUGUCAGUAUCUCUGUUUCCUCCUCUCCCUGGAGAUUGGAGACCCACAGCUUCUCCCUUCACUCCAGCCAGGAGAUCAUGUCAGGUCUGGAAAUUGGAACUCCUACUUGGGGUCAAGCAAACAAAUGAGCAUCAAGUUAGGGCCCAACAUUCAGUUAUCUCAAUAAGUGGCCUGAGUUUCAAAAAUGCUGAGCCUGCAACAAUGGGGUUUGGUUCUGAGUGUCCAGAGCUAUCGAUAACCAGGCCACUUAUUCCACUGCCUCAAUAUGGAUUUAGGAAUGUACUUUUAGGGUCCUGUAAUUAAAGUUCCAGGGUUUGGUCACUUGAUUAUAGAACAGACUCUGCCCCUGUCACCAGGAAUAAAUCUGUGAGACAUUUAUGAACCUGGCCACAAACACUGAUUUAAUAAAGUUAAUGAGACCACUCAGAUGGCUAAAGAAAGGAACACCCAUGGGUG